Molecule: ribosomal RNA, 501 nt
Filed under: uncultured bacterium
Lineage: Bacteria
Description: partial 16S ribosomal RNA
Rfam family: Bacterial small subunit ribosomal RNA
Source: RNAcentral
AUUGAACGCUGGCGGCAUGCCUUACACAUGCAAGUCGAACGGCAGCACGGGUGCUUGCACCUGGUGGCGAGUGGCGAACGGGUGAGUAAUACAUCGGAACGUACCUUAUCGUGGGGGAUAACGCAGCGAAAGCUGUGCUAAUACCGCGUACGCCCUGAGGGGGAAAGCGGGGGAUCGAAAGACCUCGCGCGAUUAGAGCGGCCGAUGCCUGAUUAGCUUGUUGGUGGGGUAAAAGCCCACCAAGGCGACGAUCAGUAGCUGGUCUGAGAGGACGAUCAGCCACGCUGGGACUGGGACACGGCCCAGACUCCUACGGGAGGCAGCAGUGGGGAAUUUUGGACAAUGGGGGCAACCCUGAUCCAGCAAUGCCGCGUGAGUGAAGAAGGCCUUCGGGUUGUAAAGCUCUUUUGUCAGGGAAGAAACACCGGCUCUAACACAGUCCGGGAAUGACGGUACCUGAAGAAUAAGCACCGGCUAACUACGUGCCAGCAGCCGCCGUAA